AGUAACGCGUGGGGAACCUACCCUAUACAGGGGGAGUAACAGCUGGAAACGGCUGCUAAUACCGCAUAAGCGCACAGAAUCGCAUGAUUCAGUGUGAAAAGCCCUGGCAGUAUAGGGUGGUCCCGCGUCUGAUUAGCUGGUUGGUGAGGUAACGGCUCACCAAGGCGACGAUCAGUAGCCGGCUUGAGAGAGUGAACGGCCACAUUGGGACUGAGACACGGCCCAA
RNAcentral lists this ribosomal RNA (226 nucleotides) under uncultured bacterium. Its description in RNAcentral is "partial 16S ribosomal RNA". It matches the Rfam family "Bacterial small subunit ribosomal RNA", at positions 109 to 334 of the family's 1533-position model. The record is from RNAcentral.